CAGCGGUUCCUUUGUCCGCGAUCAUGUCGGAACCGGAGCUCUCGGCAGGCCACGUCCAGUUGGAUAGCAGACCUAUAUUAUCCACCAAAGAUGGAAAUCAGAACUUCACGGAAGUAGAUGCAUUCCAUACAAGGUAAAGUUCCGGCAGCAGACAGAGAUGA
Molecule: long non-coding RNA, 161 nt
Organism: Empidonax traillii (willow flycatcher)
Lineage: Eukaryota; Metazoa; Chordata; Aves; Passeriformes; Tyrannidae
Exons: 3
Source: RefSeq, a predicted model, not a curated record